GGUGGGAUGGCCGAGAGGCUGAAGGCACUCGCCUGCUAAGCGAGUAGGGGGGCAUAACCUCCCUCCAGGGUUCGAAUCCCUGUCCCACCGCCA
This 93-nucleotide transfer RNA is filed under the name Thermovirgaceae bacterium. RNAcentral describes it as "tRNA-Ser". It matches the Rfam family "tRNA". From Rfam's summary of the family: Transfer RNA (tRNA) molecules are approximately 80 nucleotides in length. Their secondary structure includes four short double-helical elements and three loops (D, anti-codon, and T loops). The record is from RNAcentral. Lineage: Bacteria; Thermotogati; Synergistota; Synergistia; Synergistales; Thermovirgaceae.